GACGAACCGUGCGAACGUUGUUCGGAAUCACUGGGCUUAAAGGGCGCGUAGGCGGGCUGCCAAGUCAGGGGUGAAAGCCCACGGCUCAACCGUGGAAGUGCCUUUGAAACUAGCAGUCUGGAGGGAGGUAGGGGCGUGCGGAACUUCCGGUGGAGCGGUGAAAUGCGUAGAUAUCGGAAGGAACACCGGUGGCGAAAGCGGCGCGCUGGACCUCUUCUGACGCUGAGGCGCGAAAGCCAGGGGAGCAAACGGG
RNAcentral lists this ribosomal RNA (253 nucleotides) under uncultured bacterium. RNAcentral describes it as "partial 16S ribosomal RNA". It matches the Rfam family "Bacterial small subunit ribosomal RNA", at positions 524 to 776 of the family's 1533-position model. The record is from RNAcentral.